GUCAAAGUCACAGUGACAUGUCAGAAAUCAACUGAAAAUUGCUAGUUAAGAAUCGCAAAUCAACGAGUGGCCCAAAUAAAAAUUUGUGCAGCGAUGACAGUGAGUGGUAACCGAAACGUUUUGAAGAAUGUUGGCGGUGUUUCCCCAUUUACAUCCACCCAAAAUCCCUCCCGUGAUUGGGUGUAGAGCGCCAAAGAAAAGAAAAAAAUAACAAAUGCUCCUCACAUGCAAGCAGUGGAUCGAACAAAAUGCUUCACAGAUGAUCAACGUCAGAAAAAUACCAUGGUCGAACACUGAAGUGAACACUAUUUUGCACUGAAAAAUAAGCUAUAAUCCGUCACUGUCAAAACAGACUAUAUUUCCUGCUAUACCUGAUUUUCAAUUAAUUUUAACAAUCUUCAAUAGAACAAGGGGAUAUUUUUAUGCCGCCGCUGAUAAGAAUUUGAUCCUGACGUUUCGUUAGCACGCAUGGCUAGCAUCUUCAAAGGUGUGUUGGCUUCAUUGUUCGAACAUUCGAGCAAAAGCCUUGGUCAUUUUAUAAAACGGAAAAAAAUCUACAACAAAACCUCCCUUUACUACUU
Long non-coding RNA from Dendroctonus ponderosae (mountain pine beetle), 581 nucleotides. RefSeq lists it as uncharacterized. The transcript is spliced from 3 exons. Lineage: Eukaryota; Metazoa; Arthropoda; Insecta; Coleoptera; Curculionidae. The record is from RefSeq and is a predicted model, not a curated record.